This 432-nucleotide ribosomal RNA is filed under the name uncultured bacterium. RNAcentral describes it as "partial 16S ribosomal RNA". It matches the Rfam family "Bacterial small subunit ribosomal RNA", at positions 29 to 506 of the family's 1533-position model. The record is from RNAcentral.
AACGAACGCUGGCGGCAUGCCUAACACAUGCAAGUCGAACGAGACCUUCGGGUCUAGUGGCGCACGGGUGCGUAACGCGUGGGAACCUGCCCUUAGGUUCGGAAUAACUCCCCGAAAGGGGUGCUAAUACCGGAUAAUGUCUUCGGACCAAAGAUUUAUCGCCUUUGGAUGGGCCCGCGUUGGAUUAGCUAGUUGGUAGGGUAAAAGCCUACCAAGGCGACGAUCCAUAGCUGGUCUGAGAGGAUGAUCAGCCACACUGGGACUGAGACACGGCCCAGACUCCUACGGGAGGCAGCAGGGGGGAAUAUUGGAAAAUGGGCGAAAGCCUGAUCCAGCAAGGCCGGGUGAGUGAUGAAGGCCUUAGGGUUGUAAAGCUCUUUUACCCGGGAUGAUAAUGACAGUACCGGGAGAAUAAGCCCCGGCUAACCCCGU